Helianthus annuus (common sunflower) is the source of this 269-nucleotide long non-coding RNA. RefSeq lists it as uncharacterized. The record is from RefSeq and is a predicted model, not a curated record. NCBI's taxonomy places the organism in Eukaryota, Viridiplantae, Streptophyta, Magnoliopsida, Asterales, Asteraceae. The transcript is spliced from 3 exons.
GUCGACGAUUCCACAGAGCCAAGAUAGGGUUCUUCUUUUUAACCCUAAAUCACCAAAAAUUAACCAAAUUCAUGGGACAAAUCAAGUCUAAAUGGAAAAUCAAGCUGAAAUUAGUGAUCACCCAAGUGAAGGGAUCACAAGUUUGACGCUUAACGAGCUAGGUGGAGGCUUGGGAAAGAAGCGGGUUAAACAAAUUAAGUAGGAAGAAAAGCGUGAAUUGGAUGCAAGGUGUUGUUGAAUGAUGUUGAUUGCUAGGAUGCAUGCUCACA